AGGUACUGUCGGAAAAAAGAGGAAAAAGUCAACAGCGGGAAUUUCGAAGGAGAGGGAAACUUCAACUGUGGACCAGCCGGAUGUGCACAUGGACGAUGACGGUGUCGAUACUGAGGAAACUGUAGCUCCAACAGCAUUUCUGCAUUUUAAGAAGAAAGAGCUUAAACGACGUGAGGCCAAGAAAAAGAAGCAGCAAACAGUCACCAAAAAAAUCAGUGACCUGACUAAGGAGAGAGACUCCCUCUGCCAACAAGUUGGUCAAAAUAACAGUGGGACAACUGACUCAUCCUCCUCGGCCAACACAUCUCCUGGUGCAUCUUCUUUUUCUUCGUCCUUCAGUUCAUCCAGCUCCAGUUCAUCCAGCUCCACUUCAUUCAGCUCCUCUUCAUCCAGCACCUCAUCAACUGCUUUUUCAGAUCAGAAAUUGAAGAAAAAACGCAAGAACAAAAAGAUGCACCGCCACCGGAGUCAAAAAAAAAAGGACAAAAGAAAGAAAAAGAAGACAAAAAGGGAACACAGCAGGGGAAGAGGUAAGCGUAAAGACAGGACAGCAAAAAGGCCACUCCCCUCAUGUGUGUCAGGGUGUCGAGCAUGGAGACAUCACAUCUGUCUCUCUGUGUCUCUGUUUGUCUGUAUCUAUCUUUUUCUAUGUCUGUCUAGCUUUCUUUCUGUUUUUGUGUGAAAAAAUGUUUUAAAUGUAUGUCCUGGUGGGUAUAGUAUUGUGAACUCUCCAAUUGCCUUGUUUGUGUAGUCUUCAUCCCUUUUUGCAACCACAUAGUAUCUGUGUUUGUGUCCCUGUGUUUAUUCACUUAUUGUAUGUUUGUUGUACUUAAAUUUCUAUCUGUUUCAGCACGUCAUCCUCAAGAGGUCAUCAAGAGAUACAAGAAAGUCCUAAAGGCUUACAAGAAAGGGAGAAAGCUGAGUUUGGCAUAUCAGAAGGUCGGUGUUGACCGAAACACCAUUGUCAGCAAUGCUCCGAUCUGUGAAUUGGCUGUGGUGGCCCCAAAGACAUAUAAGGAGUUACUGGGUGCCCACACGCCACAGCAACGACUUCAGGACUUUUCAAAAAAAUGUCUGGAAGUGAUAAAUAGUGAUCCAAACCUUUUGAGGGAUGUUGAACAUCAAAAGAAGAAGGGAAAAC
Non-coding RNA from Oryzias latipes (Japanese medaka), 1141 nucleotides. The record is from RefSeq and is a predicted model, not a curated record. NCBI's taxonomy places the organism in Eukaryota, Metazoa, Chordata, Actinopteri, Beloniformes, Adrianichthyidae.